UCUGGAGAAUGUUUCUUUCCUUCUUUUUCAGCACUUGCUUGGGUUUCCUCCCAAAGGUUCACAUUCAGACCAUAGGGAUCCUCGUAUCAGAGAAAGCUGAGUUACAGACAGCCCUGGCUCACACUCAGCAUGCUGCCAGGCAGAAAGAAGGAGAGUCCGAAGAUCUGGCCAGCCGCCUGCAGUAUUCCCGGCGGCGUGUGGGAGAGUUGGAGCGGGCUCUCUCUGCUGUCUCCACGCAGCAGAAGAAGGCAGACAGGUACAACAAGGAGUUAACCAAAGAGAGAGACGCCCUCAGGCUGGAGUUAUACAAGAACACCCAAAGCAAUGAGGACCUGAAGCAAGAGAAAUCAGAAUUGGAAGAGAAGCUUCGGGUCCUAGUGACUGAGAAGGCUGGCAUGCAGCUUAACUUGGAAGAAUUGCAAAAGAAGUUAGAGAUGACGGAACUCCUGCUUCAACAGUUUUCAAGCCGGUGUGAAGCCCCUGAUGCUAACCAGCAGUUACAGCAGGCCAUGGAGGAGCGGGCACAGCUGG
RNAcentral lists this small RNA (531 nucleotides) under Pan troglodytes (chimpanzee). Its description in RNAcentral is "retained intron". Lineage: Eukaryota; Metazoa; Chordata; Mammalia; Primates; Hominidae. The record is from RNAcentral.